GAUGCAAUGAUGAGUUUAAAAGGGAUAGGCAGUGGACGGAGCUUUGUUUAGAAGCUUCGCCGUGAGCCUUGUCACCAAUAAAAACGACUUCUUCUUCCUCUGAGCUCA
Molecule: small nucleolar RNA, 108 nt
Organism: Macadamia integrifolia
Lineage: Eukaryota; Viridiplantae; Streptophyta; Magnoliopsida; Proteales; Proteaceae
Product: small nucleolar RNA Z152/R70/R12
Exons: 1
Source: RefSeq, a predicted model, not a curated record